AUCUAACAAGUCAUAAGAUUGAAUCCAUUUGACAUCCUCUCCCAAUCUUUGUAUGUUUUGUUUCCUUAAGUGUAGUAUGGCAAAAGAGGGAUUAAAAACCCAGCGUGCUUCUCAUUCUUUUGCAUCUUUAUUUUGAUUCUGGGAAAACCUUUCCUUGCUUAACUGUCCACUAAAAAAUAUAAGGAAAAUUUCAAGCAAACAAACAAACUUGUUAUAGCCAUCUUUUAAAGUAUUCUUAGUAGACGAGCAUCUGCUAGAAUCCUCUCAAUCGUCUGUAAAUACAACAAUUUAUAGCAGUAUCAGAGUUUUUUUUUUAUAGCAUAAAAUAUUAGAAAACAGAAUUCGUAGAUCAUCACAAAGAAUUCUUAGAGUAUUAUUAUGAUAUUCCGAAACAACUAAACAACAAAACAAAACAAAACAAAAAA
This 425-nucleotide long non-coding RNA is filed under the name Zostera marina. RNAcentral's name for it is "long non-coding RNA (ZMAR_LNC002243)". The record is from RNAcentral. Lineage: Eukaryota; Viridiplantae; Streptophyta; Magnoliopsida; Alismatales; Zosteraceae.